This 519-nucleotide ribosomal RNA is filed under the name uncultured microeukaryote. Its description in RNAcentral is "bacterial SSU rRNA". It matches the Rfam family "Eukaryotic small subunit ribosomal RNA", at positions 21 to 549 of the family's 1831-position model. The record is from RNAcentral.
UAAUGAUACGCUUGUCUUGAAGAUUAAGCCAUGCAUGUCUAAGUAUAAAAAGUUUACUUUGAAAACUGCGAACGGCUCAUUAACCAGUUAUAGUUUAUUUGAUAGUUUCUUCUACAGGGAUAACCGUAGUAAUUCUAGAGCUAAUACCUGCACGACCUCCCAACUCUUCGGAGAAGGGACGCGUUUAUUAGAUCUAAACCAACUCGGCUUUUGCCGAUUUAAGGUGAUUCAUAAUAAUCAAGCAAAUCGCACUUUAGGCGAUGUUUCAUUCAAGUUUCUGCUUUAUCAGCUGCGAUGGUAAUGUAUUGGAUUACCAUGGCUUUGACGAGUAACGGAGAAUUAGGGUUCGAUUCCGGAGAGGCCGCCUGAGAAACGGCGACCACAUCCAAGGAAAGCAGCAGGCGCGUAAAUUACCCAAUGCCAAACCGGCGAGGUAGUGAAGAGAAAUACCUUUUCGGGGCCAUUUAUUGGCCUUGAAGUGGAAUGAGCAUAAGUUAAACCUCUUAGCGAGGAUCAAUU